UAGGGAAUCUUCGGCAAUGGACGAAAGUCUGACCGAGCAACGCCGCGUGAGUGAAGAAGGUUUUCGGAUCGUAAAACUCUGUUGUUAGAGAAGAACAAGGACGUUAGUAACUGAACGUCCCCUGACGGUAUCUAACCAGAAAGCCACGGCUAACUACGUGCCAGCAGCCGCGGUAAUACGUAGGUGGCCAGCGUUGUCCGGAUUUAUUGGGCGUAAAGCGAGCGCAGGCGGUUUCUUAAGUCUGAUGUGAAAGCCCACGGCUCAACCGGGGAGGGUCAUUGGAAACGGGGAGACUUGAGUGCAGAAGAGGAGAGUGGAAUUCCAUGUGUAGCGGUGAAAUGCGUAGAUAUAUGGGGGAACACCAGUGGCGAAGGCGGCUCUCUGGUCUGUAACUGACGCUGGGGCGCGAAAGCGUGGGGAGAAAACAGG
This 429-nucleotide ribosomal RNA is filed under the name Gemmatimonadota bacterium. Its description in RNAcentral is "Gemmatimonadetes bacterium partial 16S ribosomal RNA". It matches the Rfam family "Bacterial small subunit ribosomal RNA", at positions 355 to 776 of the family's 1533-position model. The record is from RNAcentral. Lineage: Bacteria; Pseudomonadati; Gemmatimonadota.